GCAAACUUGGUCAUUUAGAGGAAGUAAAAGUCGUAACAAGGUAACCGUAGGUGAACCUGCGGUUGGAUCAUUAAUAAAUCUAAAGAGUUAACUUCUUAACGAAGUUUAACGCUUUAAACCCUUGUGAACUGUUAAUGUCUCUGGUGGGUUAAAAAUGGGAGAUUAUGUCUUCAGGGCUGAAAGGCUCACCCACUGUUUAAAUAUAAGCCUAUAUAGAUUUUAGUUAGUCUAAAGAAAUGAAUUAAUAAUUCUAAAACAACUUUUGACAACGGAUCUCUUGGCUCUCGCAUCGAUGAAGAACGCAGC
RNAcentral lists this unclassified non-coding RNA (306 nucleotides) under uncultured fungus. RNAcentral describes it as "partial contains small subunit ribosomal RNA, internal transcribed spacer 1, and 5.8S ribosomal RNA". The stretch from base 1 to 73 matches the Rfam family "Eukaryotic small subunit ribosomal RNA", at positions 1759 to 1831 of the family's 1831-position model. Lineage: Eukaryota; Fungi. The record is from RNAcentral.